CUUAAAGUCUUAUUACAAGGAGUUCGAGCUUUUUAGUCUAAACGAAGUUGCGGUCGAGUCUAGCUGAGCUGGAUGCAUCCAUGUUGAGUAGUCGAGCCUAAGAAGUUUAUAUGCUUGCAACAACAUGAUGUAAAAUUAGUAAGAGUUAUAAUUUUAAAACUUUGUAUUUUCCAAUGGGAUUGUAUUUCAAGUUCUCCUAAGGGGUUUAAGAAUUACAAGUCGCAUCAAUCUAUAGAAGCAAAUCACC
RNAcentral lists this long non-coding RNA (247 nucleotides) under Elaeis guineensis (African oil palm). Its description in RNAcentral is "long non-coding RNA (EGUI_LNC045687)". Lineage: Eukaryota; Viridiplantae; Streptophyta; Magnoliopsida; Arecales; Arecaceae. The record is from RNAcentral.